AGAGACAGCAGUCGCCGCGGUAAUACGAAGGGGGCUAGCGUUGUUCGGAAUUACUGGGCGUAAAGCGCACGCAGGCGGCUCGAUAAAUUAGAAGUGAAAGCCUUGGGCUUAACCUGAGAAUUGCUUUUAAGACUGUCGAGCUAGAAUCCAGAAGAGGGUAGUGGAAUUCCGAGUGUAGAGGUGAAAUUCGUAGAUAUUCGGAAGAACACCAGUGGCGAAGGCGACUACCUGGUCUGGCAUUGACGCUCAUGUGCGAAAGCGUGGGGAGCAAACAGGAUUAGAUACCCCGGUAGUCCCUGUCUCUUAUAC
RNAcentral lists this ribosomal RNA (309 nucleotides) under uncultured bacterium. RNAcentral describes it as "partial 16S ribosomal RNA". It matches the Rfam family "Bacterial small subunit ribosomal RNA", at positions 504 to 807 of the family's 1533-position model. The record is from RNAcentral.